UGGGCGUAAGCGUCCGCAGGUGGUUGGACAAGUCUGCUGUCAAAGCGUGGAGCUUAACUCCAUAAAGGCGGUGGAAACUGUUUGACUAGGGUAUGGUAGGGGUCACGGGAAUUCCCAGUGUAGCGGUGAAAUGCGUAGAUAUUGGGAAGAACACCAGCGGCGAAAGCGCGUGACUGGGCCAUUACCGACACUCAUGGACGAAAGCUAGGGGAGCGAAAGGGAUUAGAUACCCCUGUAGUCCUAGCUGUAAACGAUGGACACUAGGUGUUGCCCGUAUCGACCCGGGCAGUGCCGUAGCCAACGCGUUAAGUGUCCCGCCUGGGGAGUACGCACGCAAGUGUGAAACUCAAAGGAAUUGACGGGGGCCCGCACAAGCGGUGGAGUAUGUGGUUUAAUUCGAUGCAACGCGAAGAACCUUACCAGGGUUUGACAUCCUGCGAAUUCUUGGGAAACCGAGGAGUGCCUUCGGGAGCGCAGAGACAGGUGGUGCAUGGCUGUCGUCAGCUCGUGUCGUGAGAUGUUGGGUUAAGUCCCGCAACGAGCGCAACCCACGUUUUUAGUUGCCAGCAUUGAGUUGGGCACUCUAGAGAGACUGCCGGUGACAAACCGGAGGAAGGUGUGGAUGACGUCAAGUCAGCAUGCCCCUUACAUCCUGGGCUACACACGUACUACAAUGCUUCGGACAGAGGGUUGCCAACCCGCGAGGGUGCGCUAAUCCCGUAAACCGAGGCACAGUUCAGAUUGCAGGCUGCAACUCGCCUGCAUGAAGGCGGAAUCGCUAGUAAUCGCCGGUCAGCAUACGGCGGUGAAUACGUUCCCGGGCCUUGUACACACCGCCCGUCACACCAUGGGAGUUGGCCACGCCCGAAGUUGUUACCCUAACCACUUGUGGAGGG
This 896-nucleotide ribosomal RNA is filed under the name Leptolyngbya sp. BTA215. RNAcentral's name for it is "bacterial SSU rRNA". It matches the Rfam family "Bacterial small subunit ribosomal RNA", at positions 555 to 1450 of the family's 1533-position model. The record is from RNAcentral. Lineage: Bacteria; Bacillati; Cyanobacteriota; Cyanophyceae; Leptolyngbyales; Leptolyngbyaceae.